Molecule: ribosomal RNA, 468 nt
Filed under: uncultured bacterium
Lineage: Bacteria
Description: partial 16S ribosomal RNA
Rfam family: Bacterial small subunit ribosomal RNA
Source: RNAcentral
GACGAACGCUGGCGGCGUGCUUAACACAUGCAAGUCGAACGGAAAGGCCCUGCUUUUGUGGGGUGCUCGAGUGGCGAACGGGUGAGUAACACGUGAGUAACCUGCCCUUGACUUUGGGAUAACUUCAGGAAACUGGGGCUAAUACCGGAUAGGAGCUCCUGCUGCAUGGUGGGGGUUGGAAAGUUUCGGCGGUUGGGGAUGGACGCGCGGCUUAUCAGCUUGUUGGUGGGGUAGUGGCUUACCAAGGCUUUGACGGGUAGCCGGCCUGAGAGGGUGACCGGCCACAUUGGGACUGAGAUACGGCCCAGACUCCUACGGGAGGCAGCAGUGGGGAAUAUUGCACAAUGGGCGGAAGCCUGAUGCAGCAACGCCGCGUGCGGGAUGACGGCCUUCGGGUUGUAAACCGCUUUCGCCUGUGACGAAGCGUGAGUGACGGUAAUGGGUAAAGAAGCACCGGCUAACUACGCG